Molecule: ribosomal RNA, 493 nt
Filed under: Boana polytaenia (Cope's eastern Paraguay treefrog)
Lineage: Eukaryota; Metazoa; Chordata; Amphibia; Anura; Hylidae
Description: partial small subunit ribosomal RNA
Rfam family: Bacterial small subunit ribosomal RNA
Source: RNAcentral
GCUUAGCCACAAACUUUUAAUUACACCCCAAACGCCCGGGAACUACGAGCAAAGCUUAAAACCCAAAGGACUUGACGGUGCCCCAUAUCCCCCUAGAGGAGCCUGUCCUAUAAUCGAUAACCCCCGUUUAACCUCACCACUUUUCGCCUUUCAGUCUGUAUACCUCCGUCGUCAGCUUACCAUGUGAGUGAAGAAUAGUAAGUACAAUGUCUUAUUUCACGUCAAUACGUCAGGUCAAGGUGCAACUAAUAAAGUGGGAAGAGAUGGGCUACACUCUCUAAUUUAGAAUAUACGAAAGACUACUAUGAAAGCUAGUCUAAAGGUGGAUUUAGUAGUAAAAAAAGACCAGAGUGCUUUUUUUAACUAGGCCCUGGGGUGUGUACACACCGCCCGUCACCCUCUUCGUAGCCAGAAUUUAGUAAUUAACAUAAAUUGCACAGUAGAAGAGGUAAGUCGUAACAUGGUAAGUAUACCGGAAGGUAUGCUUGGAAAC